Molecule: ribosomal RNA, 327 nt
Filed under: uncultured eukaryote
Lineage: Eukaryota
Description: partial 18S ribosomal RNA
Rfam family: Eukaryotic small subunit ribosomal RNA
Source: RNAcentral
CCCUUAGAUGUCCGGGGCCGCACGCGCGCUACACUGAAGGAAUCAGCGUGGCUUUCUCCCUGACCCGAAAGGGUUGGGAAACCCGUUGAAUCUCCUUCGUGAUAGGGAUUGGGGCUUGAAAUUGUUCCCCAUGAACGAGGAAUUCCCAGUAAGCGCGAGUCAUAAGCUCGCGUUGAUUACGUCCCUGCCCUUUGUACACACCGCCCGUCGCUCCUACCGAGGGGGUGAUCCGGUGAAUGAUUCGGACUUUGGCAUUGCUAUGUUUCAUAGCAUUGCUGGGGGAAGUCUUGUGAACCUUAUCACUUGGAGGAAGGAGAAGUCGUAACA